CUGGAGUGCAGUGGUGCAAUCUCGACUCACUGCAACCUCUGCCUUGUGGGUUAAAAUGAUUCUCCUGCCUCAGCCUCCCGAGUAGCUGAGAUUACAGGCACACAUCACCAUGCUCAGCUAAUUUUUGUAUUUUUAGUAGAGACAGGGUUUCACCAUGUUGGCCAGGCUGGUCUCGAACUCCUGACCUCAAGUGAUACACCCGUCUUGGCCUCCCAAAGUGCUGGGAUUACAGGCGUGAGCCACCGCGCCCGGCCCAGUUAUUUAUUACCUCUUAUGUGCUCUACGGACUUAAAGUAUUUGGAGGAGAUCUCAUGCCUCCAUCUUACAAGCUCAGGAAUCAUCUUUGUUGACAAACACAAAGGUAGGAGAUCAUGACAGACUUAACCAAGGAGAAAAAUGGAGCUGAUGCACUUUCUAAUCCUGGGUCUACCCUUUUUCUAUAAAAAUAUUUUUAAAAAUUAAUUACACAAGUGACACAUGAACAAUGCUUAUUACAUAAAAAUGAUACAAUACAGGAUGAUAUAAAUUAAAAAGCAAAUAUCUUUGACACCUUCUUGUUCAACAUUCUCUUUCAGGUGAAGUUAUCUGUUC
RNAcentral lists this long non-coding RNA (591 nucleotides) under Homo sapiens (human). Its description in RNAcentral is "HSALNT0175044". The record is from RNAcentral. Lineage: Eukaryota; Metazoa; Chordata; Mammalia; Primates; Hominidae.